CCUACGGGCGGCAGCAGUGGGGGAUAUUGCACAAUGGGGGGAACCCUGAUGCCGAGACGCCGCGUGGGUGAAGAAGCGCCUCGGCGCGUAAAGCCCUGUCAGCAGGGAAGAAAAUGACGGUACCUGAAGAAGACGCCCCGGCUAACUACGUGCCAGCAGCCGCGGGAAUACGUAGGGGGCAAGCGUUAUCCGGAUUUACUGGGUGUAAAGGGGGCGCAGACGGCGAUGCAAGCCAGGAGUGAAAGCCCGGGGCCCAACCCCGGGACUGCUCUUGGAACUGCGUGGCUGGAGUGCAGGAGGGGCAGGCGGAAUUCCUGGUGUAGCGGUGACAUGCGUAGAUAUCAGGAGGAACACCGGUGGCGAAGGCGGCCUGCUGGACUGCAACUGACGUUGAGGCCCGAAAGCGUGGGGAGCAAACAGGAUUAGAUACCCUAGUAGUC
RNAcentral lists this ribosomal RNA (440 nucleotides) under uncultured bacterium. RNAcentral's name for it is "partial 16S ribosomal RNA". It matches the Rfam family "Bacterial small subunit ribosomal RNA", at positions 338 to 795 of the family's 1533-position model. The record is from RNAcentral.